AGUUUGAUCAUGGCUCAGAUUGACGCUGGCGGCAUGCCUUACACAUGCAAGUCGAACGGCAGCACGGGAGCUUGCCCUGGUGGCGAGUGGCGAACGGGUGAGUAAUACAUCGGAACGUACCCUGAAGUGGGGGAUAACGUAGCGAAAGUUACGCUAAUACCGCAUAUUCUGUGAGCAGGAAAGAGGGGGAUCGCAAGACCUCUUGCUUUAGGAGCAGCCGAUGUCGGAUUAGCUAGUUGGUGAGGUAAAGGCUCACCAAGGCGACGAUCCGUAGCGGGUCUGAGAGGAUGAUCCGCCACACUGGGACUGAGACACGGCCCAGACUCCUACGGGAGGCAGCAGUGGGGAAUUUUGGACAAUGGGCGCAAGCCUGAUCCAGCCAUGCCGCGUGAGUGAAGAAGGCCUUCGGGUUGUAAAGCUCUUUCGGUGGGGAAGAAAUUGCUUCGGUUAAUACCUGGAGUAGAUGACGGUACCCGCAUAAGAAGCACCGGCUAACUACGUG
Molecule: ribosomal RNA, 502 nt
Filed under: uncultured bacterium
Lineage: Bacteria
Description: bacterial SSU rRNA
Rfam family: Bacterial small subunit ribosomal RNA
Source: RNAcentral